ACGGAAGGCAGCAGUGGGGAAUAUUGGGCAAUGGGGGAAACCCUGACCCAGCAACGCCGCGUGAAGGAAGAAGGCCUUCGGGUUGUAAACUUCUUUUACCAGGGACGAUAAUGACGGUACCUGGAGAAAAAGCAACGGCUAACUACGUGCCAGCAGCCGCGGUAAUACGUAGGUUGCAAGCGUUGUCCGGAUUUACUGGGUGUAAAGGGCGUGUAGGCGGAGCUGCAAGUCAGAUGUGAAAUCCCGGGGCUCAACCCCGGAACUGCAUUUGAAACUGUAGCCCUUGAGUAUCGGAGAGGCAAGCGGAAUUCCUAGUGUAGCGGUGAAAUGCAUAGAUAUUAGGAGGAACACCAGUGGCGAAGGCGGCUUGCUGGACGACAACUGACGCUGAGGCGCGAAAGCGUGGGGAGCAAACAGGAUUAGAUACCCUGGUA
This 434-nucleotide ribosomal RNA is filed under the name uncultured Oscillospiraceae bacterium. Its description in RNAcentral is "bacterial SSU rRNA". It matches the Rfam family "Bacterial small subunit ribosomal RNA", at positions 341 to 792 of the family's 1533-position model. Lineage: Bacteria; Bacillati; Bacillota; Clostridia; Eubacteriales; Oscillospiraceae. The record is from RNAcentral.